RNAcentral lists this transfer RNA (67 nucleotides) under human gut metagenome. It matches the Rfam family "tRNA", at positions 5 to 66 of the family's 71-position model. From Rfam's summary of the family: Transfer RNA (tRNA) molecules are approximately 80 nucleotides in length. Their secondary structure includes four short double-helical elements and three loops (D, anti-codon, and T loops). The record is from RNAcentral.
CGGUAGCUCAGCUGGAUAGAGUGUUUGGCUACGAACCAAAAGGUCGGGGGUUCGAAUCCCUUCCGGC